This 2575-nucleotide long non-coding RNA is filed under the name Brachypodium distachyon (stiff brome). Its description in RNAcentral is "long non-coding RNA (BDIS_LNC004844)". The record is from RNAcentral. Lineage: Eukaryota; Viridiplantae; Streptophyta; Magnoliopsida; Poales; Poaceae.
UUCCUCCUGCCGCCGCCACAGUCUCCUUCCUCCACCUGAUCCCCUUCUUCCUCCUCAUCCCGCGAGCUCCCCUCCAUGGCUGAGUCUCCCCUUGCUCUCUCCCCCUCAAGCUCCCCGCGGCCCCCUUCCCCGAGCUCCUCUGCGCCGCGCCGCUCUCCCUCUCCCGUGGCCGCCUGCCCUCUGCACCCGCGCCGCCUCCACCUCGCCCGCCCGCGUCUACUGCUCCCUUACUCCUCGCCGGCGCUUGUCCUCCGCCCCAUGCCGCCGAGCUCCCUCGCAGCGCUGCUCCGCCUCGCCGCGCGCCCUCCUCUCCCCGGCCGCGCGCGCGCACCUUCUGGGUCCUCCUCGCCUGGCCGCUGGCCGCUCCGCCCUCUGCUCCCGUCGGCCGCGCCCGCCUAGUGUCCCGAUGCCGCCUCCUCCGCACACGUCGACCGCUUCGCCUUCCUAGGUAUAACGUGCGACCGUUCCGUGAAGCCACCGUUCUUUGGCGUAGACCCGUAGGUGGUGAAUAUAUGUAAUGCGUGUAUUGUAUGAGAUGCCCGUGUUUGUAUCGAUAGCCCUAGCUGCAGGUACGUCGUUGCCACCGGCGUGUGCAACCCCGACCGAGUUGUUUGUUUGGUGUGUCGUUCUUGUUUUAAAGCAGGCAUCGCACCUAUUCAUGUCAUUGUCAUGCAUGCUAAUACAACUAUCACAUUGUUGUGUGUAGUUAAUCAAUUAAACUCUAUUCCUUGCAUAUGGAGUUGUUUAGAUGCUAUGCGUAGAUGUUUCAGACUCCAUUUAACUUGGUAAAUUGUAAAUCGGAUUUACUAUCGGAAUACUUAAUAUGUCAUGCAUCAUCCCUAUGUCACGCAUCAUCCCUUGAUUGCGCAUAUUAAUUACCAUGUGUAUCGUGUAUGCUUAUACUUUAUUUUUAUGUCGUGUAUUUGCUUCUUCCUCGCUAGUCUUUGAUUCCUACGACGAUGACUACGCUUGUGUUCUUCUUCCAGGAUUCUUGCUCAAUUCCGGACAAUUGAGUACUCCAGGCAAGCAGCCCUUCCUUGACCAUGUUGAUUAUAAUUAUUGCCUCUCCCUCAAUCUUGCAAUAAGUUACGAUCUCAGUCUUAUCACAAUACCUCUAGGAUUGCAUAGCUUUUUAGUCAGCUCUACUCAAAUGCCUUUGUCUUGUCACUUGUCCUAUUACCAUGUCACAUGUUUGUUGUUGCCCUACAUCUUGGUCAUUAGAUGUCAUUCUUAGUUGCGAGUCUAGUGUCCUUACUUUGGGGUUCCACAAUUGCUACAUCCACAUGCUACUUUAUGUUAAUUGCAACUAUUUAACUGUGAUAUGAUAUUAAACUAUAACAAGGCAACGAUGGGAGGCCGUGCUCUAACGCAUUGAUGUUUUGUUCCAUUGGCGCCAACCUAAGGACUGAGUUCUCGUUUUUGCCGAUCCAAAAAACUUCACGCUAACCGCUCGUGGGAGAAUAUAUGAGCUCCUCCUCGGCUUAGUACUCGUUUCAUAGCUCUUCCAGGGGCCACAUAGUUCGGGCGUUCCAUUUGGCAUUUGCAUUGCAUGCACACAGAGAUUCGUGAAGACUUGUUGGUGACAUUGCAUUCAUAUAGGAUUGCGGCACUAGUCUGGAGUGGUCAUUCUGCGGACACUGAACCACUACCAGCUGUCCUCGCAACUCUUGAGUCCGUACGACGCUUCGGCCGGGCUCUCGUUUCGGAUUAGACUCAGUUGGGUUGGCCUCCUGGAUUAGUUGUGAGGCUUGGAAAUGUCGUGUCGCCCAAUCCUGCCGACACACGUCUUUGUGUGUUCCUACUCGAGUGGCAAUAAGGGUUGGACGAACGUGUACGGGUAAAUUGGCACACCCUGCAGGGAUAAAUCUUUCGGAAAGCCGUGUCCGCGGUUAUGGACAACUUGGUUGGUCAUUACUUGAUCAUAGAGAACUCAAUCAAUUUAAUUAACUUAAUCUCUUAAACUUGAGUAAUAAUUACCCUUUAAUCAUGGAUAUGCUUAAAACUGCUUAAGUGUGAGUUUCCUUUGGAUUGCUUCCUCACAGGGUGUUAAGGGGGUGAUAUGAGGAUUGUGUUGUUUGGUGUUUAGUAAAUAGGUUAAUCACCUUACACCUUAGUAGACGCUUCUCUUCCUCUCAUUAGACGUUGUUAUUAGAGUGUCCCUCCAGAUAUUGUUGCUGCUGCAUAACCGCACCAUAUUUAUCCAUCCUUUGAGACAUGUUGCAUACUAGCAUAGAUCUCCCCAUAAGUCUUGCGAGUACUUUGUACUCAGUUGCUUUCCAACGUUGUUUUCUUCAGAGGUUCCAGCAGAGCAGGUGAGCCGCUAGCCUCUUCGUGGAGCACGACGUUGGAUUCGAUGUUUAGCCAGGAGAUCCAGAUCAGGGUUCUGAGACUCGUGGCGGGUUUCCUUCCAGCUUCCAGCCUCUUCAGGCCAUGCUGUAAUCUUGUCCGUACUCGGGCAUAAUUCGACUUCCGCUGAUGUAAUGAUGUAAUGUUGGGACAUGUGUCCUCUCUUUGUAAUAUUUGUUAUUCUGCUCCUUGUAUGAGCUUUGUAACUACUCUCUUCUGUAGAGUUUUG